Molecule: ribosomal RNA, 253 nt
Filed under: uncultured bacterium
Lineage: Bacteria
Description: partial 16S ribosomal RNA
Rfam family: Bacterial small subunit ribosomal RNA
Source: RNAcentral
UACAGAGGUGGCAAGCGUUGUUCGGAAUUACUGGGCGUAAAGGGCGCGUAGGCGGCCAUCUAAGUCAGACGUGAAAUCCCCCGGCUUAACCUGGGAACUGCGUCUGAUACUGGACGGCUCGAGUUUGGGAGAGGGAUGCAGAAUUCCAGGUGUAGCGGUGAAAUGCGUAGAUAUCAGGAGGAACACCGGUGGCGAAGGCGGGACUCUGGGCCGAUACUGACGCUGAGGAGCGAAAGCGUGGGGAGCAAACAGG